Molecule: ribosomal RNA, 1273 nt
Filed under: Francisella noatunensis subsp. noatunensis
Lineage: Bacteria; Pseudomonadati; Pseudomonadota; Gammaproteobacteria; Thiotrichales; Francisellaceae
Description: bacterial SSU rRNA
Rfam family: Bacterial small subunit ribosomal RNA
Source: RNAcentral
UCUGUGGGGGAUACCAGUUGGAAACGACUGUUAAUACCGCAUAAUAUCUGCGGAUUAAAGGUGGCCUUUGUGCUGCCGCAGAUGGAUGAGCCUGCGUUGGAUUAGCUAGUUGGUAGGGUAAGGGCCUACCAAGGCUACGAUCCAUAGCUGAUUUGAGAGGAUGAUCAGCCACAUUGGGACUGAGACACGGCCCAAACUCCUACGGGAGGCAGCAGUGGGGAAUAUUGGACAAUGGGGGAAACCCUGAUCCAGCAAUGCCAUGUGUGUGAAGAAGGCUCUAGGGUUGUAAAGCACUUUAGUUGGGGAGGAAAGCCUAUAAGUUAAUAGCUUGUAGGAAGGACGUUACCCAAAGAAUAAGGACCGGCUAACUCCGUGCCAGCAGCCGCGGUAAUACGGGGGGUCCGAGCGUUAAUCGGAAUUACUGGGCGUAAAGGGUCUGUAGGUGGUUUGUUAAGUCAGAUGUGAAAGCCCAGGGCUCAACCUUGGAACUGCAUUUGAUACUGGCAAACUAGAGUAUGGUAGAGGAAUGGGGAAUUUCUGGUGUAGCGGUGAAAUGCGUAGAGAUCAGAAGGAACACCAAUGGCGAAGGCAACAUUCUGGAUCAAUACUGACACUGAGGGACGAAAGCGUGGGGAUCAAACAGGAUUAGAUACCCUGGUAGUCCACGCUGUAAACGAUGAGUACUAGCUGUUGGAUUCGGUGUAAAGGAUCUAGUGGCGCAGCUAACGCGUUAAGUACUCCGCCUGGGGACUACGGCCGCAAGGCUAAAACUCAAAGGAAUUGACGGGGACCCGCACAAGCGGUGGAGCAUGUGGUUUAAUUCGAUGCAACGCGAAGAACCUUACCUGGUCUUGACAUCCUGCGAACUUUCUAGAGAUAGAUUGGUGCCUUCGGGAACGCAGUGACAGGUGCUGCACGGCUGUCGUCAGCUCGUGUUGUGAAAUGUUGGGUUAAGUCCCGCAACGAGCGCAACCCCUAUUGAUAGUUACCAUCAUUAAGUUGGGUACUCUAUUGAGACUGCCGCUGACAAGGCGGAGGAAGGUGGGGACGACGUCAAGUCAUCAUGGCCCUUACGACCAGGGCUACACACGUGCUACAAUGGGUAUUACAGAGGGCUGCGAAGGUGCGAGCUGGAGCGAAACUCAGAAAGGUACUCUUAGUCCGGAUUGCAGUCUGCAACUCGACUGCAUGAAGUCGGAAUCGCUAGUAAUCGCAGGUCAGAAUACUGCGGUGAAUACGUUCCCGGGUCUUGUACACACCGCCCGUCACACCA